GACUCAACACGGGGAAACUCACCAGGUCCAGACACGAUGAGGAUUGACAGAUUGAGAGCUCUUUCUUGAUUUCGUGGGUGGUGGUGCAUGGCCGUUCUUAGUUGGUGGAGUGAUUUGUCUGCUUAAUUGCGAUAACGAACGAGACCUUAACCUGCUAAAUAGCCCGUAUUGCUUUGGCAGUACGCUGGCUUCUUAGAGGGACUAUCGGCUCAAGCCGAUGGAAGUUUGAGGCAAUAACAGGUCUGUGAUGCCCUUAGAUGUUCUGGGCCGCACGCGCGCUACACUGACAGAGCCAGCGAGUACUCCCUUGGCCGGAAGGUCCGGGUAAUCUUAGAAACUCUGUCGUGCUGGGGAUAGAACAUUGCAAUUAUUGUUCUUCAACGAGGAAUCCCUAGUAAGCGCAAGUCAUCAGCUUGCGUUGAUUACGUCCCUGCCCUUUGUACACACCGCCCGUCGCUACUACCGAUUGAAUGGCUCAGUGAGGCUUCNGGACUGGCCCAGGGAGGUCGGCAACGACCACCCAGGGCCGGAAAGCUAUCCAAACUCGGUCAUUUAGAGGAAGUAAAAGUCGUAACAAGGUUU
This 582-nucleotide ribosomal RNA is filed under the name uncultured fungus. RNAcentral's name for it is "SSU rRNA". It matches the Rfam family "Eukaryotic small subunit ribosomal RNA", at positions 1197 to 1802 of the family's 1831-position model. The record is from RNAcentral. Lineage: Eukaryota; Fungi.